GAUGAACGCUAGCGGCAGGCUUAACACAUGCAAGUCGAGGGGUAACAGGAUUUAGUUUACUAGAUUGCUGACGACCGGCGCACGGGUGAGUAACGCGUAUACAAUUUACCUUUUACAGGGGGAUAGCCCAGAGAAAUUUGGAUUAAUACCCCAUAGUAUUAUUGAUCGGCCUCGGUUGAUAAUUAAAGUUCCGGCGGUAAAAGAUGAGUAUGCGUCCUAUUAGCUAGAUGGUGAGGUAACGGCUCACCAUGGCGACGAUAGGUAGGGGUCCUGAGAGGGAGAUCCCCCACACUGGUACUGAGACACGGACCAGACUCCUACGGGAGCAGCAGUGAGGAAUAUUGGUCAAUGGA
RNAcentral lists this ribosomal RNA (353 nucleotides) under uncultured bacterium. RNAcentral describes it as "bacterial SSU rRNA". It matches the Rfam family "Bacterial small subunit ribosomal RNA", at positions 28 to 375 of the family's 1533-position model. The record is from RNAcentral.